Molecule: long non-coding RNA, 943 nt
Organism: Archocentrus centrarchus (flier cichlid)
Lineage: Eukaryota; Metazoa; Chordata; Actinopteri; Cichliformes; Cichlidae
Exons: 3
Source: RefSeq, a predicted model, not a curated record
UCAAAAGUCAACGACUGCUGUCAUAAGGAGCGCAGGAGCAGAGCUUCUCUAAGAUCAAUUCAGCCUGCCUUCCUCCCUCCACCUUGUCUGCUACCUCACUGAAAUAAAAUUAAUAGAAAGACUCUACCUGUCUCCAACUCCACCUUAAGAAGGAGGGCCCGUGUAGACGGAGAAAACCGACUUAAACAAAUGCGGGAUGACGCCACAAAUUUAAUUGACUUUCAGAUGACAACAGAGAGGAACCUUGACCAUGGACACAUCAGUGAAGAGCAUUUUCAUGAAAGUCACACUGGAACUGAUAAUCCACACUGUCUAGACACUGAAACCGGUGCUGGUUUUAGUGAGCAAGAUGGCAUGGAGAUAGAUCUAGGCCUGUCUGAGGAUUUUGAGGAUGCUGCUUGUGAUGUUCAGACUCAGACAUCUGAGUCUGAUCAUUUUGAUGAUGAACUCCAAGACUCGGUUUCACUCUCUGACAGUUUAUCCCACUGGGCCAUACAAUUUCGUAUUUCCUUGGUCGCUUUGACAGCAUUAUUGGCCAUACUUCGCAUUUACCAUUCUGAUAUUCCAAAGGAUGCUAGGACACUCCUCAGAACUGAGACAGAAUACUCAAUUCUUGAAAGGGCUGGAGGACAGUACCACUAUUUUGGCAUUCUGGCUUCUCUUAGAAAUACAUUGUUAAAGUUCAAACACACGUUAGCAGACAGUUUCACUUUGAAGUUACAAAUCAACAUAGAUGGACUUCCUUUGUUCAAGAGUUCUUGUCUGCAGUUGUGGCCCAUCCUUGGUCUACUAUUAAGUGUUCCCAUGAAGGAACCUGUAGUUAUAGGUUUGUUCUGUGGACCAAAGAAACCAAGUUCAGCAAAAGACUUCCUUGAAGACUUUGUUACAGAGUUACAACAGCUUGAAAAUGGUUUUGAUUUAGAAGGUAAACGGUUAAAUCUCA